GAAAAGAAGGAUAAGAAGGAAAAGGAAGGAAAAGAAAUGCGAGUGUAAGAAGGAGAAGGGUGGACAUAAGAAGGAUGACAGUAUCAGCAACAGCGACUAAAGAGUUGCUGACACAUAAAAAGGCGAGCAUUGUUGGCUCAUUUUCACUGGAUUUUGAAAAGUAUAACUAAUAUAUGAUCAAAUAUUUUCUGUGAUCUAAUUAAACUCUUUUCCCUCCGUUCAGCAUUUACAGAAUUGAGGUCAAGCAGAGUGCCCGCUAACAUAAUCUUCAAAUAAAG
Molecule: unclassified non-coding RNA, 278 nt
Filed under: Hevea brasiliensis (rubber tree)
Lineage: Eukaryota; Viridiplantae; Streptophyta; Magnoliopsida; Malpighiales; Euphorbiaceae
Source: RNAcentral